CCUACGGGUGGCAGCAGUGAGGAAUAUUGGUCAAUGGGCGCGAGCCUGAACCAGCCAAGUAGCGUGAAGGAUGACUGCCCUACGGGUUGUACACUUCUUUUAUAAAGGAGUAAAGUGAGGCACGUGUGCCUUUUUGUAUGUACUUUAUGAAUAAGGAUCGGCUAACUCCGUGCCAGCAGCCGCGGUAAUACGGAGGAUCCGAGCGUUAUCCGGGUUUAAUGGGUUUAAAGGGAGCGUAGAUGGGUUGUUAAGUCAGUUGUGAAAUUUUGUGGCUCAACCGUGAAAUUGCAAUUGAUACUGGCAGUCUGGAGUACAGUUGAGGUAGGCGGAAUUCGUGGUGUAGCGGUGAAAUGCUUAGAUAUCACGCAGAACUCCGAUUGUGAAGGCAGCUUACUAAACUGCCACUGACAUUGAUGCUCGAAAGUGUGGGUAUCAAACAGGAUUAGAUACCCCAGUAGUC
RNAcentral lists this ribosomal RNA (460 nucleotides) under uncultured bacterium. Its description in RNAcentral is "partial 16S ribosomal RNA". It matches the Rfam family "Bacterial small subunit ribosomal RNA", at positions 338 to 795 of the family's 1533-position model. The record is from RNAcentral.